UCAAACUAAUUUGAAAAUUAAAACUUUGAGCUUGCAAUGGUUUGGAAUUCUGCAAUUACGAGAUCAAUGAUUUCUAUAAAUUGCAUGACAUCCUAAGACAUAGAAUUAUGACUUACAUUCCUCAACAAAAUGACAUUGCUAAAAGAAUGAAUAUGAUCUUAUUGAACAAAGAUAGGUACAUACUUUUAAGUUCUGGUUUGCCCAAAUUAUUUUCGGGUGCAAAUGUUAAAACUGCUGCAUAUCUUGUUAAUAUGAGUCUUAUU
This 263-nucleotide long non-coding RNA is filed under the name Olea europaea subsp. europaea. Lineage: Eukaryota; Viridiplantae; Streptophyta; Magnoliopsida; Lamiales; Oleaceae. The record is from RNAcentral.